This 426-nucleotide ribosomal RNA is filed under the name uncultured bacterium. RNAcentral describes it as "bacterial SSU rRNA". It matches the Rfam family "Bacterial small subunit ribosomal RNA", at positions 359 to 776 of the family's 1533-position model. The record is from RNAcentral.
GAAUAUUGGGCAAUGGGCGCAAGCCUGACCCAGCGACGCCGCGUGGGGGACGAAGGCCUUCGGGUCGUAAACCCUUGUCAUAGGGGAAGAUGGGUGUAUAUGCUAAUACCAUAUACACUUGACUGUACCCUAAGAGGAAGCCCCGGCUAACUCCGUGCCGGACGCCGCGGUAAUACGGAGGGGGCAAGCGUUGCUCGGAAUUACUGGGCGUAAAGGGUCCGCAGGUUGUUUUGUAAGUUAGAUGUGAAAGCUCAGGGCUUAACCCGGAAAUUGCAUCUAAAACUGCAAAACUUGAGUAUAGGAGAGGUUGGCGGAAUUCCCGGUGUAGCGGUGAAAUGCGUAGACAUCGGGAGGAACACCAGCGGCGAAGGCGGCUAACUGGCCUAGUACUGACACUCAUGGACGAAAGCGUGGGUAGCGAACCGG